GACGAACGCUGGCGGCGUGCUUAACACAUGCAAGUCGAACGGAAAGGCCCUGCUUUUGUGGGGUGCUCGAGUGGCGAACGGGUGAGUAACACGUGAGUAACCUGCCCUUGACUUUGGGAUAACUUCAGGAAACUGGGGCUAAUACCGGAUAGGAGCUCCUGCUGCAUGGUGGUGGUUGGAAAGUUUCGGCGGUUGGGGAUGGACUCGCGGCUUAUCAGCUUGUUGGUGGGGUAGUGGCUUACCAAGGCUUUGACGGGUAGCCGGCCUGAGAGGGUGACCGGCCACAUUGGGACUGAGAUACGGCCCAGACUCCUACGGGAGGCAGCAGUGGGGAAUAUUGCACAAUGGGCGGAAGCCUGAUGCAGCAACGCCGCGUGCGGGAUGACGGCCUUCGGGUUGUAAACCGCUUUCGCCUGUGACGAAGCGUGAGUGACGGUAAUGGGUAAAGAAGCACGGGCUAACUACGUG
RNAcentral lists this ribosomal RNA (468 nucleotides) under uncultured bacterium. Its description in RNAcentral is "partial 16S ribosomal RNA". It matches the Rfam family "Bacterial small subunit ribosomal RNA", at positions 28 to 507 of the family's 1533-position model. The record is from RNAcentral.